AUAAAAGCGAAGACCGUGUACAGUAGAGAGCUAUCUUCUAUCAGAGAGAGAGAAUCAUCGGCUGAAAAUUUUCUUGAGUUCAGAUAGUAAUUGAAUUUCCCACGUUAGCUGUGUUUUUGAAAAAAUAAAGUAGAGAACACCGUAAGUUGUACGUUACACAAACAGAGUGUCCAAAAGUUAUAACUUUGGGAAACAGGGUGGUACCGCGAGUAUAAUAUAAGCUUCGUCCCUUUU
This 234-nucleotide non-coding RNA is filed under the name Bacillota bacterium. RNAcentral describes it as "Firmicutes bacterium T-box sequence". It matches the Rfam family "T-box leader". From Rfam's summary of the family: Uncharged tRNA acts as the effector for transcription antitermination of genes in the T-box leader family. T-boxes are found upstream of many aminoacyl-tRNA synthetase genes and some amino acid biosynthetic genes usually in Gram-positive bacteria. Lineage: Bacteria; Bacillati; Bacillota. The record is from RNAcentral.